This 329-nucleotide long non-coding RNA is filed under the name Olea europaea (common olive). Its description in RNAcentral is "long non-coding RNA (OEUR_LNC008957)". The record is from RNAcentral. Lineage: Eukaryota; Viridiplantae; Streptophyta; Magnoliopsida; Lamiales; Oleaceae.
GACUGUUUAGUCCGCCCAUUUUACUAUUUGCCUUGAUGUCACCUUUGGUAUGGGAGGUAUAGGAAAUAUUUUCUGGCCAGCAGCGGAGUUUUUACCUUCAAAAUUCUUCCCAUCGUCUCUUCGUUCUUCACAAGGAGUCGAUAAUGGAAGGCAAUUUUUGGGCUGCUUGUGGGCCACUCUGCUUGCUGAGAGUGCUUCUCAGCUUGCCUGCUGAGAGUGCUUCUCAGCCUCUUUGCUCGCCAUUGCAGCGAUGCAUUUAGGAAGGUGGUGAGGCCAGUACACCCUCUUACUCGGCGAUCCCACCAUUGCAGCGAUGCAUUUAGGAAGGC